AUGUAUUAAUUACUAUAAAAAUGUUAUCAACCCGAGAAGCUGCAUUACACGGCAACCGCCACAGCCGCAUUAACGGCGACGCCUUCACCGAUACCGCCGUUGCAUUUUCCGUUAAGAACAACGACGUCGUUUCUCUCUUUGGGUACGAGACUCUUCAUCAUCACUUCCAAAUCCCUCUUGUGCACGUUGACCAAAAGUCCGUUCUUCAUGAACAAAGUCAACGACAUCUUCUGCUCCACCUUGUGUCCCGGCGCCACCGUUAGUCUAUGCCUGAGUAAAACCGCCGCCGCGAUCGUCUUCAUCUGCAGAUACGCUAGAUCUUUUCCUAGACAGAUCCUAGGUCCGGCGUUAAACGCCACGAAUCGGUACUGAUCGUGAUUCACGAAUUUUCCAUCGUCCGGCGAGAUCCACCUCUCCGGUUUGAAUUCCAAGCAAUCCUCUCCCCACGUGCUCUUCAUCCUCCCCGCCGCGUAGAUCGAAUAAGUCACCGACGAUCCCGCCGGUACGAAAGUUCCGUCCGGUAAGAUAUCGUCGUUCACGACGUGCUUUGAAUCUUCCGGCACCGACGGGUAAAGCCUCAACGUCUCAGAGAGCGCGGCCUUCAGGUAAACCAACCGGUCGACCUCAUCGAAUUCCAACGGCUCCGCCGUCCACGACGAUACAUCGGUUCCACGUGUCUCAAUCAGAACGGAGCAUAUCUCGCGGACGAUCUUAUCCUCAACCGUCGGAUGCGUCGUGAUGAGCCAGAAAAACCAGCUCAACGCUACUGAUGACGUGUCACG
This is a long non-coding RNA of Arabidopsis thaliana (thale cress), 782 nucleotides long. RefSeq annotates it as other RNA. Lineage: Eukaryota; Viridiplantae; Streptophyta; Magnoliopsida; Brassicales; Brassicaceae. The record is from RefSeq. The transcript has a single exon.